AGUGCUCGGAAGGCUGCAAAUUUGCAGCUCCUAUCGAUAAUCUGUGGCAUUUUAUAGACAUAUGAGUUUCAUCCGUUGAGCUGUAAGAACGCAUCUCUUUAGUUUUGGGGUAUGGAAUUUCGGAUUACCGUGAGCUCACACUGUUUACCUGCAUUCUCAUUCCUUGUGCUGUGCGUGAGCGGGACCUGUGAUUUUGUGAAUCUCGUUCUGAAAGCUCUGGUACAUUCGAACGUCAUGCUUAUUGCAGUCGGUGUCCGUACCAGAGGGGAUGGCGAGCUCCUUCUCCUUCACGCUGUUUUCACCAACGGAGAUCGUGACAGCGCUGCACUGCUCCGGGUCGCGACCAGACGACGACAAGCGGCGAGAGGGGCCGAUCGCGAUCGGGCAGCCAUGUCGACGUCGCGGAGGCGGACACUCCUCAAGGUCAUCGUCCUCGGCGACAGCGGGUCAGCCCAUUGCUCCCUCCCCGCUCCUCCCUCCCCCAACCCGGCUCCCCCGUCCCUCCCUCGGAUCCGCUGCACGUGGAUUUCCCGGGUCGCUGUUGUGAUUUCUAGGGAAGCUUUUUGGCGGUUCGAUUUGGACGCGGUUGCUGCGACCCCUGUGUUUCACUCUGUCCCUUUGGUCUGAUUUGGUCCGGUGUGAUCUCUGCAGGGUCGGGAAGACGUCGCUGAUGAACCAGUAUCCUUGACUUGAUUCCCUCAGUGUGUCGUGUUUUGGUAAUUAGACGCCGUUUCAUGUCCGUGCAGUCGGUCCCUCCAUUUCGUGUGAAUUGCUUUUUGCCCCAUGGAUCAACUUACGCCAUAGUGCUCGGAAGGCUGCAAAUUUGCAGCUCCUAUCGAUAAUCUGUGGCAUUUUAUAGACAUAUGAGUUUCAUCCGUUGAGCUGUAAGAACGCAUCUCUUUAGUUUUGGGGUAUGGAAUUUCGGAUUACCGUGAGCUCACACUGUUUACCUGCAUUCUCAUUCCUUGUGCUGUGCGUGAGCGGGACCUGUGAUUUUGUGAAUCUCGUUCUGAAAGCUCUGGUACAUUCGAACGUCAUGCUUAUUGCAGUCGGUGUCCGUACCAGAGGGGAUGGCGAGCUCCUUCUCCUUCACGCUGUUUUCACCAACGGAGAUCGUGACGGCGCUGCACUGCU
RNAcentral lists this long non-coding RNA (1134 nucleotides) under Sorghum bicolor (sorghum). Its description in RNAcentral is "long non-coding RNA (SBIC_LNC012066)". The record is from RNAcentral. Lineage: Eukaryota; Viridiplantae; Streptophyta; Magnoliopsida; Poales; Poaceae.